GGUUCUACAGUGCACCACAAAAAUCAAGAAAACGAAGACAAAUCUCUUGCUCUGGAAUCCAGUACUCCCCAGAUCCCAGCCUGCAUCUGCCUCUGAAGCCUCCUUCCUCACUCUCUCCUGCUCACAAUCUUUCCUCCAGCCACACAGCUGCAAGCUUCUUAGGCUGCUCCUUUAGCCCGAACUAGCCCCUCCGUUUACACAAUAAUUUCUGUCCUACUCAUGCCUUGCUUUGCCCAGUUGUGCUUGAUGCUUGAAACCCUCUGUAACAACCCUGAACAGUAGAACUUUCUACUGGAUGAUAUAAAGUGUUAGAAGCACUGAUUUGUUAAGAAAAUUUCCAGAGUCACACAGCUAUAACUGGCAAAGCUGUACUUCAAACUUGGAAAGUCGACUUCUAGAAUCCAGAAGUUUAAGCCCUAGACCAGCGUUUUUCAAAGUGUGGUUCCCAGACCAGCAGCGGCGGUGUCACCUGGAACUUAUCACAAAGACAAGCUUCCGAGCCAACUUCAGACCUACUCAUUGGAAGCUCAAGGCUCAUAGGUGAAAGAGACUUGCCUUGUCUCAGAUGAGGCCUUGGACUGGACUUUUGGAUUAAAGCUGGAAUGAGUUAAGACUUUGGGGGACUGUUGGAAAGCCAUUAUUGUGUUUUGAAAGGUUUUGAAUGACUUCAUCAGUGACAUCUAUCAAUUCACCACUUUUCUCUCCAACUGUGUUUUGGAAGUCUACUGCUUUCCUCUCUAUCGUGUAUUUUAUUUCACUGGCUUUUUCCCCUUGAAUUAUGUUUUCCUAUCCUUGCUUUUGUAUUUAAUUUUUGCCUGAUUUUGUGUCCUUUUUAAAAAUGGAAGUUAUAACCUAUAUUUUUGAACACCUCAAACAUAUUUUAUCUGACUAAAAUAUAUUUGUAAUCAAAUUACUGACUAUGUCAGCCUGCUUUAA
This 936-nucleotide long non-coding RNA is filed under the name Homo sapiens (human). RNAcentral's name for it is "novel transcript". The record is from RNAcentral. Lineage: Eukaryota; Metazoa; Chordata; Mammalia; Primates; Hominidae.